Centropristis striata (black sea bass) is the source of this 1437-nucleotide long non-coding RNA. RefSeq lists it as uncharacterized. Lineage: Eukaryota; Metazoa; Chordata; Actinopteri; Perciformes; Serranidae. The transcript has 3 exons. The record is from RefSeq and is a predicted model, not a curated record.
CCGGAUGAAGGCAUACGAGGAGGUGAAAGACAUUAUUAAAAAGAAAUGCAACACCGCCACAGUGAUAAAGCAAAGAGAAAACACGUGGCAAAGUAUUACUGACCGUCUGAAUGCGUAAGUAAACACAACUACACACUCACCGCUCCGCUGAAACCUCACAAUUACAAUCCAAAUAGUUAAUUCACAUUUCCAAAAACGCAGUUGUACUCUGAUUAUGAAUGAGUUGAAUUUUUAAUUGAAAUGGACUGUAGAUAUGACUGAAGUUGUGUAAAUAUAACUCCACCAGACUGUAUUAUUCUUUGAUAAAUAGAUGAGCUAAUAAAAGUAAUAACUUUAAUUUAUAUAGCGCCUUUCAAAGGACCCACGGUCACUUACUGACUUCAUUGGAUUUCCUUUUGGAAUAGAUACAUUUUCUCUUUUCUUAUAUUUAGGGUGUAUGUGUCUUCAUCUGUAAAAAAAAAAGAUAAACAAUAGCUACUCAAUAAAAUCGAGGCAACAAAUUGCACGCAAUAUUAUUAAUUAAAUCUAACUACAUUACAAGUUGAGUUAAUGACUUAACAGGAAGUGCCUGUCAAUUAAAAACGGACUAAUUCUAUUGUGUUGAAUUCAUUCAAAAUUCUCUUGAUUUAGAAUUACAUCCACAUAAAGAUUAUAUUUAAUGUGAUCAAAAUAAGUAGAUUAUAUCUCAAACAUUUUUAUAUUAAAGUUACUUAAACAACUGCCUCAAAAUCAAGGACACAUUUAUAUUUAUUGCACUUGAUCAAAUAUAUUAAGUAAAAUGAAAUGACUACAGAAUAGUUUAUUACAGUGUCCUUCCCUGGCCACAGAAGACUCUGACAUCAAAGAGGAGUUCUAUAGGAUUGCAGGUGAGAAAAUCUAGAAAUUACAGGACAACUGUUACCAGUCAUAAUAGGAUACUCAUUACUUUGUGUUAAAGGUUUCCCCAAUGUCACUGGUGCACUGGACUGCACACACCUCAGCAUAAGAUCCCCCCUCAGGGGCCCAUGAGGUGGAUUUUGUGAAUGGGAAAUCAUUUCACAGCAUUAAUGUUCAGAUGGUCUGCAAUGCUGACUGUCUGAUCAACAGACAUGGACUGAGCCAGGCAGAAUGGCCUCAGUCCAUGACUCCAGAGUCUUUGGGACCUCUGAAACCUGUCAGCGCCUAUCACAAGGUGAAUUCUCUGGUGUGUUGCUGGGAGACAGGGGGUCUGUCUGCCAGCCUUUUCUCCUGACACCAUCCACAGACCCCCAGGACGCACAGCAGGCCUACAACCAUGCCCAUGCCAGGACCAGGACCAGGACCAGGACCAGGCCCAGAGUUGAGAUGACCUUUGGCCUCCUGAAGGCACGCUUUCAGUGUCUUCACUGUCCUCCACAAUGUGGCCUGCCUGAGGAAGGAGAGGGCCCCCAGAGUGCCCCCAGCCAUGGACUGGGACAA